RNAcentral lists this small nucleolar RNA (86 nucleotides) under Klebsormidium nitens. RNAcentral describes it as "Small nucleolar RNA SNORD24". It matches the Rfam family "Small nucleolar RNA SNORD24". Rfam says of the family: U24 is a member of the C/D class of snoRNA which contain the C (UGAUGA) and D (CUGA) box motifs. C/D box snoRNAs have been shown to act as methylation guides for a number of RNA targets. Lineage: Eukaryota; Viridiplantae; Streptophyta; Klebsormidiophyceae; Klebsormidiales; Klebsormidiaceae. The record is from Rfam by way of RNAcentral.
GGCCAAUGAUGGAACACAAUAUUUGCUACUCUUGACAGUCAAAACGGCUGGCUGAUGUUAAACAUAUCACCAAGAUCUCUGAGGCC